Molecule: transfer RNA, 71 nt
Organism: Loxodonta africana (African savanna elephant)
Lineage: Eukaryota; Metazoa; Chordata; Mammalia; Proboscidea; Elephantidae
Rfam family: tRNA
About the family: Transfer RNA (tRNA) molecules are approximately 80 nucleotides in length.
Source: Rfam
GCAGUGAUGGUUCAGUGGUAGAAUUCUUGCCUUCCAUGCAGGAGAUACAGGUUUGAUUCCCAGCCAAUGCA